UAGGGAAUCUUCCGCAAUGGACGAAAGUCUGACGGAGCAACGCCGCGUGAGCGAUGAAGGCCUUCGGGUCGUAAAGCUCUGUUGUUAGGGAAGAACAAGUACCGUUCGAAUAGGGCGGUACCUUGACGGUACCUAACCAGAAAGCCACGGCUAACUACGUGCCAGCAGCCGCGGUAAUACGUAGGUGGCAAGCGUUGUCCGGAAUUAUUGGGCGUAAAGCGCGCGCAGGCGGUUCCUUAAGUCUGAUGUGAAAGCCCACGGCUCAACCGUGGAGGGUCAUUGGAAACUGGGGAACUUGAGUGCAGAAGAGGAAAGCGGAAUUCCACGUGUAGCGGUGAAAUGCGUAGAGAUGUGGAGGAACACCAGUGGCGAAGGCGGCUUUCUGGUCUGUAACUGACGCUGAGGCGCGAAAGCGUGGGGAGCGAAACAGGAUUAGAUACCCUGGUAGUCCACGCCGUAAACGAUGAGUGCUAAGUGUUAGGGGGUUCCGCCCCUUAGUGCUGCAGCUAACG
Molecule: ribosomal RNA, 512 nt
Filed under: uncultured Bacillota bacterium
Lineage: Bacteria; Bacillati; Bacillota
Description: bacterial SSU rRNA
Rfam family: Bacterial small subunit ribosomal RNA
Source: RNAcentral